This 58-nucleotide transfer RNA is filed under the name Cricetulus griseus (Chinese hamster). Lineage: Eukaryota; Metazoa; Chordata; Mammalia; Rodentia; Cricetidae. The record is from Rfam by way of RNAcentral.
UGCCCUAAUGGAUUGGGUAUUAGCCUUCUAAGCUCAAGGAUGUGGGUUCAAGUCCCAC